This 490-nucleotide ribosomal RNA is filed under the name uncultured bacterium. RNAcentral's name for it is "partial 16S ribosomal RNA". It matches the Rfam family "Bacterial small subunit ribosomal RNA", at positions 30 to 507 of the family's 1533-position model. The record is from RNAcentral.
AUUGAACGCUGGCGGCAGGCUUAACACAUGCAAGUCGAGCGGUAGCACAGGGGAGCUUGCUCCCUGGGUGACGAGCGGCGGACGGGUGUGUAAUGUCUGGGAAACUGCCUGAUGGAGGGGGAUAACUACUGGAAACGGUAGCUAAUACCGCAUAACGUCGCAAGACCAAAGAGGGGGACCUUCGGGCCUCUUGCCAUCAGAUUUGCCCAGAUGGGAUUAGCUAGUAGGUGGGGUAAUGGCUCACCUAGGCGACGAUCCCUAGCUGGUCUGAGAGGAUGACCAGCCACACUGGAACUGAGACACGGUCCAGACUCCUACGGGAGGCAGCAGUGGGGAAUAUUGCACAAUGGGCGCAAGCCUGAUGCAGCAAUGCCGCGUGUGUGAAGAAGGCCUUCGGGUUGUAAAGCACUUUCAGCGAGGAGGAAGGUGGUGAGCUUAAUACGCUCAUAAAUUGACGUUACUCGCAGAAGAAGCACCGGCUAACUCCGUG